AGCGAACGUUAGCGGCGGGCCUAACACAUGCAAGUCGAGCGAGAAAGGGGGUUCGCCCCCGAGUACAGCGGCGGACGGGUGAGUAACACGUAGGUAAUUUUCCCUUGAGCGGGGGACAACGUUCCGAAAGGGACGCUAAUACCGCAUAAGUUCUUGGGUGCUUCGGCACUGGAGAGGAAAGCUAGGCCGCAAGGUCUGGCACUCGAGGAGAAGCCUGCGUCGCAUCAGCUAGUUGGUGGGGUAAUGGCCUACCAAGGCAAAGACGCGUAGCUGGUCUGAGAGGAUGAUCAGCCACACUGGGACUGAGACACGGCCCAGACUCCUACGGGAGGCAGCAGUGGGGAAUAUUGGGCAAUGGGCGAAAGCCUGAUCCAGCAAUGCCGCGUGAGUGAUGAAGGCCUUAGGGUUGUAAAGCUCUUUUACCCGGGAUGAUAAUGACAGUACCGGGAGAAUAAGCCCCGGCUAACUCCGUGCCAGCAGCCGCGGUAAU
RNAcentral lists this ribosomal RNA (490 nucleotides) under uncultured bacterium. RNAcentral describes it as "bacterial SSU rRNA". It matches the Rfam family "Bacterial small subunit ribosomal RNA", at positions 29 to 524 of the family's 1533-position model. The record is from RNAcentral.